This 65-nucleotide transfer RNA is filed under the name Dipodomys ordii (Ord's kangaroo rat). It matches the Rfam family "tRNA". Rfam says of the family: Transfer RNA (tRNA) molecules are approximately 80 nucleotides in length. Their secondary structure includes four short double-helical elements and three loops (D, anti-codon, and T loops). Further hydrogen bonds mediate the characteristic L-shaped molecular structure. tRNAs have two regions of fundamental functional importance: the anti-codon, which is responsible for specific mRNA codon recognition, and the 3' end, to which the tRNAs corresponding amino acid is attached (by aminoacyl-tRNA synthetases). tRNAs cope with the degeneracy of the genetic code in two manners: having more than one tRNA (with a specific anti-codon) for a particular amino acid; and 'wobble' base-pairing, i.e. permitting non-standard base-pairing at the 3rd anti-codon position. The record is from Rfam by way of RNAcentral. Lineage: Eukaryota; Metazoa; Chordata; Mammalia; Rodentia; Heteromyidae.
GGUGGCUCAGUGGUAGAGUGCUUGCCUCGCCUGCAAGAGACCCUGGGUUCGAUUCCUCAGCACCA